This 515-nucleotide ribosomal RNA is filed under the name uncultured bacterium. RNAcentral's name for it is "partial 16S ribosomal RNA". It matches the Rfam family "Bacterial small subunit ribosomal RNA", at positions 28 to 523 of the family's 1533-position model. The record is from RNAcentral.
GACGAACGCUGGCGGCGUGCCUAAUACAUGCAAGUCGAGCGGACUUUCAAGAAGCUUGCUUUUUGAAAGUUAGCGGCGGACGGGUGAGUAACACGUGGGCAACCUGCCUGUAAGACGGGGAUAACUCCGGGAAACCGGGGCUAAUACCGGAUAAUAUCUUUCUUCGCAUGAAGGAAGGUUGAAAGGCGGCGCAAGCUGCCGCUUGCAGAUGGGCCCGCGGCGCAUUAGCUAGUUGGUGAGGUAACGGCUCACCAAGGCGACGAUGCGUAGCCGACCUGAGAGGGGGAGCGGCCACGCUGGGACUGGGACACGGCCCAGACUCCUACGGGAGGCAGCAGUAGGGAAUCUUCCGCAAUGGACGAAAGUCUGACGGAGCAACGCCGCGUGAGCGAAGAAGGUCUUCGGAUCGUAAAGCUCUGUUGUCAGGGAAGAACAAGUACCGUUCGAAUAGGGCGGUACCUUGACGGUACCUGACCAGAAAGCCACGGCUAACUACGUGCCAGCCGCCGCCGUAA